CUUGCUAGUAUGUCAGCUAAGUGGCGGACGGGUGAGUAAUGUAUAGUUAAUCUGCCCUUCAGAGAGGGAUAACAGUUAGAAAUGACUGCUAAUACCUCAUACUCCUUUUGCCUUAAUGGUAAUUGGGAAAUGUUUUUUCGCUGAAGGAUGAGACUAUAUGGUAUCAGGUAGUUGGUGGGGUAAGAGCCUACCAAGCCAAUGACACCUAGCUGGUCUGAGAGGAUGAUCAGCCACACUGGAACUGAGACACGGUCCAGACUCCUACGGGAGGCAGCAGUGGGGAAUAUUGCACAAUGGGGGAAACCCUGAUGCAGCAACGCCGCGUGGAGGAUGACACAUUUCGGUGCGUAAACUCCUUUUAUAUGGGAAGAUAAUGACGGUACCAUAUGAAUAAGCACCGGCUAACUCCGUGCCAGCAGCCGCGGUAAUACGGAGGGUGCAAGUGUUACUCGGAAUCACUGGGCGUAAAGCGCGCGCAGGCGGUCUUUUAAGUUGGAUGUGAAAGCCUACGGCUCAACCGUAG
RNAcentral lists this ribosomal RNA (523 nucleotides) under uncultured bacterium. RNAcentral describes it as "bacterial SSU rRNA". It matches the Rfam family "Bacterial small subunit ribosomal RNA", at positions 75 to 618 of the family's 1533-position model. The record is from RNAcentral.